AUUCAGACGACGAGUCUUAAAUAGGACGAAAUGUACAUCUUGGAU
RNAcentral lists this non-coding RNA (45 nucleotides) under Trichobilharzia regenti. Lineage: Eukaryota; Metazoa; Platyhelminthes; Trematoda; Strigeidida; Schistosomatidae. The record is from RNAcentral.